RNAcentral lists this ribosomal RNA (223 nucleotides) under Klebsiella pneumoniae. RNAcentral's name for it is "partial 23S ribosomal RNA". It matches the Rfam family "Bacterial large subunit ribosomal RNA", at positions 1572 to 1792 of the family's 2925-position model. The record is from RNAcentral. Lineage: Bacteria; Pseudomonadati; Pseudomonadota; Gammaproteobacteria; Enterobacterales; Enterobacteriaceae.
AGGCACUACGGUGCUGAAGUAACAAAUGCCCUGCUUCCAGGAAAAGCCUCUAAGCAUCAGGUAACAUCAAAUCGUACCCCAAACCGACACAGGUGGUCAGGUAGAGAAUACCAAGGCGCUUGAGAGAACUCGGGUGAAGGAACUAGGCAAAAUGGUGCCGUAACUUCGGGAGAAGGCACGCUGGUGUGUAGGUGAAGCCCCUGCGGGUGGAGCUGAGACCAGU